UGGGGAAUUUUGGACAAUGGGGGAAACCCUGAUCCAGCCAUCCCGCGUGUGCGAUGAAGGCCUUCGGGUUGUAAAGCACUUUUGGCAGGAAAGAAACGUCAUGGGUUAAUACCCCGUGAAACUGACGGUACCUGCAGAAUAAGCACCGGCUAACUACGUGCCAGCAGCCGCGGUAAUACGUAGGGUGCAAGCGUUAAUCGGAAUUACUGGGCGUAAAGCGUGCGCAGGCGGUUCGGAAAGAAAGAUGUGAAAUCCCAGAGCUCAACUUUGGAGCUGCAUUUUUGACUACCGGGCUAGAGUGUGUCAGAGGGAGGUGGAAUUCCGCGUGUAGCAGUGAAAUGCGUAGAUAUGCGGAGGAACACCGAUGGCGAAGGCAGCCGCCUGGGAUAACACUGACGCUCAUGCACGAAAGCGUGGGGAGCAAACAGG
RNAcentral lists this ribosomal RNA (429 nucleotides) under Acidobacteriota bacterium. Its description in RNAcentral is "Acidobacteria bacterium partial 16S ribosomal RNA". It matches the Rfam family "Bacterial small subunit ribosomal RNA", at positions 355 to 776 of the family's 1533-position model. The record is from RNAcentral. Lineage: Bacteria; Pseudomonadati; Acidobacteriota.